Molecule: non-coding RNA, 116 nt
Organism: Paramuricea clavata
Lineage: Eukaryota; Metazoa; Cnidaria; Anthozoa; Malacalcyonacea; Plexauridae
Source: the annotation of a GenBank genome assembly
GCUCCUGUGGCACAGUCGGUUAGCGCGUCGUACUUAUAAGCAGUAUGGGCGUGGCUUUGGCUCGCCAUAUAUGCCGUGAAAUGCGAAGGUCGAGAGUUCGAGCCUCUCCAGGAGCA